RNAcentral lists this unclassified non-coding RNA (412 nucleotides) under soil metagenome. RNAcentral describes it as "partial contains 5.8S ribosomal RNA, internal transcribed spacer 2, and large subunit ribosomal RNA". The stretch from base 1 to 122 matches the Rfam family "5.8S ribosomal RNA", at positions 35 to 154 of the family's 154-position model. The record is from RNAcentral.
GAUGAAGAACGUAGCGAAAUGCGAUACUUGGUGUGAAUUGCAGAAUCCCGUGAACCAUCGAGUCUUUGAACGCAAGUUGCGCCCGAAGCCGUCAGGCCGAGGGCACGCCUGCCUGGGCGUCACACGCCGUUGCCCACCCCGCGCCCCGCACCCAACUCUUUGGGAGCGACCGCGGGGCGGGCUGAUGAUGGCCUCCCGUGCGCUCCGCCGCGCGGUUGGCCCAAAUACCGAGUCCCCGGCGACGUGCGCCACGACGAUCGGUGGUUGAGAGACCUCUGUCGCAAGUCGUGCGCGCCCGUCGCGUCACGCGGGCUCGCAUAGCGCCUCGCGCCGCACCCGGUGCGGAGCUUUCAACGCGACCCCAGGUCAGGCGGGGUUACCCGCUGAAUUUAAGCAUAUCAUAAGCGGAGGA